Molecule: long non-coding RNA, 3350 nt
Filed under: Homo sapiens (human)
Lineage: Eukaryota; Metazoa; Chordata; Mammalia; Primates; Hominidae
Description: HSALNT0038973
Source: RNAcentral
CUCUUUUUCUGUCUCGUGCCCCUCAGUUGACUUCUUUCUUCUGAGGAGGCAAGAAUUGAGGUUGCGGCAGACCUGUACGGAUUCGCCGCGGGGAACUUGGAUACCUUCCACUGGUCACACUGUCUGGCACACGGCGCAUGAUGAAGAUGGAGCAGUGAUUCUUCUUACUGAGCUCACCGGCCUCACCCAAGCUCGCAGCAUUGUGCCGGGAAAGGAUGUUCUCGGCUCCGGCCUUUUUCCUCCUCUCCUGGGGACAGAACAUGGAUCCUGGAAGGCAUUGAGGACCCUGUGCUCAGCCCCUGCCCAUCCCUUCCACCACUUAUCUGUCCUGUAGGCACACUGACGCGGCUUUCACAAAAUGGGAGGCUCUGAGAGGUAAGUGAAGUGCCCACCCUGCACAGCUGACGGGAGGUGCCGCGGGGCUCCCACCCAGCCUGGUCUCCAGGGCCCCGGCCGCGCUCAUCACCCCUGCCUCUGUUCCCGUCCUUCACAACGUAGGGCCUGGCCAGCUAGGCACAUAGGCCUAGGACUGUGACCCCUCUAGGGGCCCCAAAAGUGUUUUAUUUGUUUAUUUUUUUUCCCUAGAAGGAGUGUCACUCUGUCUCUCAGGCUGGAGUGCAGUGGUAUGAUCUCGGCUCACUGAAACCUCCGCCUCCCGGGUUCAAGCAAUUCUCCUGCCUCAACCUCCCAAGUAGCUGGCUCUACAGGCCCUCUCCACCAUGCCUGGCUAAUUUUUGUAUUUUUAGUAAAGACCAGGUUUCACCAUGUUGGCCAGGCUGAUCUCAAACUCCUGACCUCGUGAUCGGCCUGCCUUGGCCUCCCAAAGUGCUGGGAUUACGGGUGUGAGCCACCGUGUCCGGCCUAAGUGUUUUAAUUUUAAUAUAUUUUAAAAUCAAAGGAAAAAAGAAUAUGGUAAUGAAUAUGUGUAACUGAAUCCAGCUUAGUUAUAUUUGUAUUUACACCAAUACAGUCAUAAAAUGUGAUAUUUGCUACUUAAAGUGCCUGGAGCCCAUGAAGGUGAUAAUGGGACCGUGGUCCCAGUGCCCAAGCCCCUCUGAGCCCCUCUCCACUGCCACCACUCCUCCAGCCCACCCUCCCUUAGCCUCAGAAUGGGGCUUGUUAGACCUUGGGGUUGCCUGGGCUGUGGGUGCAGCCCUUGGGGCAGCUCACACCUGAGCAGGAAGCAGUUUGGGUUUUGUGAUGGGGUCAGCCCUGCCGGGAGCAGCUAGGAUAAGUGGAGAGAGAUUUGUGGCAGGAGUCCCAGCUUUGGCUUCUUAUAUGUCCCUCCUCCUUGGGCUUAGGGAUGUUCUGGGGUGUUUAAAGUAUGAAUGGGUUGUCCCCACCAAGAAUCAACUUGCAUAAAAGAUGGAGGACUCUUCUGGGAAAUAACUGACCCUAAGGGGAGAGACAGCACCCUGGCCUUGCUUGGUUGGAGAAAAACCGGCUGGGCAGAUUGGAGAGGAUAGUGGGAGACAACAGCUCCAGGUCACCCCGCUUGUGACCCUCCUGUGUGCGCUCAUCUGAGAGAGUGGUCAGUGGCGGCCAAUCCUUCCAAGCACCCAUGGUGGCUCUGGUACCUCACCCACACGUGCCCACGCCCUGGAGUGUGGCCUCCCACGUGGCUUCAGGAGCUGGCAUCCCACUGAGUUGCCAUGUGAUGUGGGCCUGGUGUUGGAAGAUGUGGUGCCUUUUCAGGGGCAGCCCCAGCUCUGGCCAGAAGAACAGCCCACAGAGGUGACCUCUUGGGGGUGGGGGCCAGGACAGACAGAUGGACAGAUGGACAGGAGGAGGAGGCCCAGAUCUGCCACAUCAAGGAAACUCCUGGGGAACAUGGCACCGUUCAGUUUCCCAGGCCCACUCCAGAUCACUGAGCAGAGCCUCAGUGAAGGGCCAGGUGCCCCUCUAAGUGUGGGAAACACUGCUUUGUGCCACCUUACCCAUCUUCCCUCUACAUCCCUGACCCUGUGGGGAGGGCCCCUCUUCCUCCCAUGACUCUGAUAACAACUCUGCAGCUCAGGGAAAUGAAAUGCUGGGUUUAGAGGCCACAACUGGCAAAAGACAAAAUGAGGAUGUGACCAGGUCUGGCCAAAUUCCAAGUCCAUGUACCGCAGGGCACUGGCUGUGCCCAGGCUGGGAGAGGGGCAUGUGAGCCACGCUUUGUUGGUGACUGUGGAGUCGGCCCAUUCUGGGGGCUGCCUCAGGCAGGAACCCGCGGGGAUGCACUCAGGCCACGGGGGACGGGGAGCUACAGCACACAGAUGAACCCUGCUUUGGUGUCAUCAGCCAGCUAUGUGACCUUGAGCAGGUAAUAACCCUUCCUGAGUCUCGGCCCUCCAUCUGUAAAAUGGGGGCAAUACAUCACACGGUUUUGGGGAGAGGAGCUCAAGCUCAGAGCCCAGCUCACCACCAGCCAUCGGAGGGUCGGCGAGCAGUAGCUGACAUGCUGGGGAGCAGGACGUUCUCUUCUUCAGGACCCUCCUCCUCCACUCUGGCAUCUCUUCCUUGCCUUUUAUUCAUUCCCUUUCCUGAAAUCCCUAGUCCUUCUAACUUCAUCCAAAUCCAAGAUGCCUGGAGUGGAGAACAGGGUGGAAGGGGAGCUGAACGUCUCCCCCGACUUUGCCAGCUCCCCCUUCCUUCUGCCCCUCACCUUGUGGCACCAGGUGGGUCAGACCCAGCUGGAGGGGCAAGGCUGUUUUUAACAGAAACAGGGACCCCUUGAAGAAUUCUGAGAAGAAGCCUUAAAGGGGAAUUCCCUGGCUCUGAUGUCAUUUCAGUAUUUCCUGGGGGAGCUGCACCUGCUCUUUUUCUGACACCUUCUUUAAGAGGCUCAGCCUUCAUCCUUGACGAGGGGAAAGGCAAGGCAAGGGCGACUGCCACAUGUAGUGCACAGCGCAGUCUAAAAUCCUUGCACACAAAGCCAGUGGCACUUUGGCAGAGUUCCAGUGGGCUUGCUGGACGAGAAAAGCCCGGGAACUGCAUUUGCUUCCCUUGGUCAGAGAGCAGCAGCCCACAGGGUGCAUGUUGCUGUGGCUUUCCUCUGUCCUUGGGGAUCUGCUGGUUCUGCCAAACUGGGCCCUGGAGUCAGGGGCCCUGGGGUGAGAUCUCCGCUUUGACCUUGACCCUGAAGGCAGAAUGUCCUGGUAAUGAAGAGCUCCAGGGUCAGCGUCCAAUAGACCUGGGUUCAAACCCCAGCUCUGUCAGUCACUAGCUGAGUGACCUUGGGCAAACCCCUGAACUACUCUGAGCCUCCAAAUACCUUCUUCAUGGGCUUGUAAGGAUGCUUAAAUGAGAUUUUAAAGCUUCUGGUGGGCCGGGUGCGGUGGCUCACACCUGUAAUCCCAGCACUUUGG